Scylla paramamosain (green mud crab) is the source of this 337-nucleotide long non-coding RNA. RefSeq lists it as uncharacterized. The transcript has 3 exons. Lineage: Eukaryota; Metazoa; Arthropoda; Malacostraca; Decapoda; Portunidae. The record is from RefSeq and is a predicted model, not a curated record.
CAUACGUUUUAACCCAGCGGGUGCUGUAAACAGUACGUUGGCGGUUCACACCAGUUCAGAAAUUACCAAGGCAUCCAGUCUCCCAGCAAGUGCCAAGAGGCAUUCAUUCAAUGCUCCGCUGACACCAAUUUGCCCAAAGAAUAUUUAUGUGGGAGACUCCUCAGAUUGUGGAGACCCCAGAUUGUGGAGGCUCCUGGGCAGCUGGUCUUUUUGUGGACUCCUAAAUCUGGCACUGAACAAAAUUCUCUCUCUCUCUCUCUCUCUCUCUCUCUCUCUCUCUCUCUCUCUCUCUCUCUCUCUCUCUCUCUCUCUCUCUCUCUCUCUCUCUCUCUCUCUC